Molecule: transfer RNA, 73 nt
Filed under: Stylophora pistillata
Lineage: Eukaryota; Metazoa; Cnidaria; Anthozoa; Scleractinia; Pocilloporidae
Description: tRNA-Ala
Rfam family: tRNA
About the family: Transfer RNA (tRNA) molecules are approximately 80 nucleotides in length. Their secondary structure includes four short double-helical elements and three loops (D, anti-codon, and T loops).
Source: Rfam by way of RNAcentral
GGCUUGUUAGCUGAGUUGGUAGAGCACUGCACUGGCAUCGCAGAGGUCAUGGGUUCGAAUCCCGUACAGGCCU